UCAAGCUAAAAAGGGCGCAGGGCGAAUGCCUUGGCACUGGGAGCCGAAGAAAGACGUGAUAAGCUGCGAUAAGCCGCGGGGAGAUGCAAAUAAUCUUUGAUCCGCGGAUUUCUGAAUGGGGAAACCCACUGGAGCAAACCUCCAGUACCGUAUACUGAAUCAAAUAGGUAUACGGAGGGAACCGCCUGAACUGAAACAUCUAAGUAGGGCGAGGAAGAGACAUCAACCGAGAUUCCGUAAGUAGUGGCGAGCGAACGCGGAAGAGGCCAAACCGAGGGUAGAAAUACCUUCGGGGUUCGGACUGCUUUAAGGACUGCAAUUGUUAACCGAAGGGUAUGGGAAGGCCCACCGAAGAGUGUGAGAGUCACGUAGGUGAAAACGAAAGCAGCUGCGCAGGAUCCAGAGUACGGCCAGACACGUGAAACCUGGUCGGAAUACGGGGGGACCACCCUCCAAGCCUAAAUACUACCCAGUGACCGAUAGCGUAUAGUACUGUGAAGGAAAGGUGAAAAGAACCCCGGGAGGGGAGUGAAAUAGAACCUGAAACCCUGUGCCUACAAGCACAUAGAGCACGUCAAAGUGUGAUAUGGUACUUUUUGUAGAACGGUCCGGCGAGCGACUGUAUGCAGCGAGGUUAAGUUGUUAAGCAAUGGAGCCGAAGCGAGAGCGAGUCUGAAUAGGGCGAUUUAGUUGCAUGCAGUGGGCCCGAAACCGGGUGACCUAUCCAUGGUCAGGUUGAAGUGGAGGUAAAACUCCAUGGAGGACCGAACCGACCUCCGUUGAAAAGGCGGCGGAUGAACUGUGGAUAGCGGAGAAAUUCCAAUCGAACCCGGAGAUAGCUGGUUCUCCCCGAAAUAGUUUUAGGACUAGCCUCAUGUUAGAUUUCCGGAGGUAAAGCACUGAAUAGCCUAGGGCCCGAGAGGGUACCGAAGCUUAUCAAACUAAGAAUGCCGGAAAAUUGAUGCAUGGGAGUCAGACUGUGUGAGAUAAGUCUCACAGUCAAAAGGGAAACAGCCCAGAUCUACAGCUAAGGUCCCAAAGCAGGUUUAAGUGGAAAAGGAUGUGAAGUUGCUAAGACAACCAGGAUGUUGGCUUAGAAGCAGCCACUCAUUCAAAGAGUGCGUAAUAGCUCACUGGUCGAGUGACUUUGCGCCGAAAAUUCAACGGGGCUAAAACCUGCACCGAAGCUUAGGCAGCAUUCUGUUGAACAAAGUUUAUAAGGUUGAAUUACGGGCCACGAAGUGGCACCAAAUUGUCCGUUAAGGAUAAAGCCGAUCUUGUAGAUUUUGUUCAGCAGAAUGUUGGGUAGGGGAGCGUUGUGUACGCGGUGAAGUUAUAGCGUAAGCGGUAGUGGAGUGUACACAAGUGAGAAUGCCGGAAUGAGUAGCGAGAAUUGUGUGAGAAUCACAAUGGCCGAAAGCCUAAGGUUUCUGGAGGAAGGUUCGUCCGCUCCAGGUUAGCCGGGAGCUAAGGUGAGGCCGAAAGGCGUAGCCGAUGCACAUACGGUAGAGAUUCCGUAGCCACCGAAACAGUUAAGCAUGGGGACACUUUUGAAAUGUUCGUGCCAGGCGUUGGUUGCCCUGGUCGAAAGGGACCGAAAUUUAGUAGGGAAGUCGAGCAUGGAGAGAGGCGAGAAAAGCCAUGUGUAUUUGUCAGGUGCCCGUACCGCAAACCGACACAGGUAGGUAGGAAGAGGAUUCUAAGGCCAACGGGAGAAGGGUUGUUAAGGAACUCGGCAAGUUGACCCCGUAACUUCGGGAGAAGGGGUGCUCACGAGAGUGAGCCGCAGAGAAUAGGCCCAAGCAACUGUUUAGCAAAAACACAGGUCUGUGCUAAAUCGAAAGAUGACGUAUACGGGCUGACACCUGCCCGGUGCUGGAAGGUUAAGGGGAGUUGUGCAAGCAGCGAACUGAAGCCCCAGUAAACGGCGGCCGUAACUAUAACGGUCCUAAGGUAGCGAAAUUCCUUGUCAGGUAAGUUCUGACCCGCACGAAUGGUGUAAUGAUUUGGGCACUGUCUCAACAGCCCGCCCGGCGAAAUUGUAGUACCGGUGAAGAUGCCGGUUACCCGCGACAAGACGGAAAGACCCCAUGGAGCUUUACUGUAGCCUAAUAUUGGGUCUUGGUAUUACAUGUACAGGAUAGGUGGGAGACUAGGAAACCCGGGCGUCAGCUCGGGCGGAGUCACCCUUGGGAUACCACCCUUGUGAUACUAGGAUUCUAACCUGCGGCCCUGAAUCGGGUCGGGGGACAUUGUUAGGUGGGCAGUUUGACUGGGGCGGUCGCCUCCUAAAGCGUAGCGGAGGCGUUCAAAGGUUGGCUCAGCAUGGACGGAAACCAUGCUAUUGAGUGCAAACGCAUAAGCCAGCCUAACUGCGAGACCGACGGGUCGAGCAGUAACGAAAGUUGGAGUUAGUGAUCCGGUGGUAUGUGAGUGGAAAUGCCAUCGCUCAACGGAUAAAAGUUACCCUGGGGAUAACAGGCUGAUCUCCCCCAAGAGUCCACAUCGACGGGGAGGUUUGGCACCUCGAUGUCGGCUCAUCGCAUCCUGGGGCUGUAUUCGGUCCCAAGGGUUUGGCUGUUCGCCAAUUAAAGCGGUACGCGAGCUGGGUUCAGAACGUCGUGAGACAGUUCGGUCCCUAUCUGUCGUGGGCGCAGGAUAUUUGAUGGGAUCUGUCCCUAGUACGAGAGGACCGGGAUGGACGCACCUCUGGUGCACCAGUUGUCACGCCAGUGGCACAGCUGGGCAGCUAUGUGCGGAUCGGAUAAACGCUGAAAGCAUCUAAGCGUGAAGCCGGCCCAAAGAUAAGAUAUCCCACUGAGUUAAUCAGGUAAGACCCCUUGAAGACUACAAGGUUGAUAGGCACAAAGUGUAAGCAUGGUGACAUGUUGAGCUAGCGUGUACUAAUAGGUCGAGGGCUUGUCCAC
This 2927-nucleotide ribosomal RNA is filed under the name Allofournierella massiliensis. RNAcentral's name for it is "bacterial LSU rRNA". It matches the Rfam family "Bacterial large subunit ribosomal RNA". The record is from RNAcentral. Lineage: Bacteria; Bacillati; Bacillota; Clostridia; Eubacteriales; Oscillospiraceae.